This 69-nucleotide transfer RNA is filed under the name Isthmohyla tica (Starrett's treefrog). RNAcentral's name for it is "tRNA-Val". The record is from RNAcentral. Lineage: Eukaryota; Metazoa; Chordata; Amphibia; Anura; Hylidae.
CAAAGUAUAGCUUAAACAAAGCCCCUCGCUUACCCCGAGGUUAUGUUUGUUAGAACCAGGUUACUUUGA